GAAAAUAUAUUUAGAUUUUAUCAAGUUUAUUUACUAUUUAUUUUUUAUUAUAUAGUUAUUUUCUUUAUUUUAAUUAUAAAUAUAUAAUAAAUAAACUUGAUAAAUCUGAAUAUAUUACCAUAAAUAUCAGAAGUCAUGAUCUUAUACUUAGUUCUGGUAACAUUCAAAAAUAAUAUGUAAACCUCUAUAAAUAAUAUAUUUACCCCUUCAACUUAUAUUUACAGAUACAUAUAACUUGACUUGAGUGAUCAAUUUGACACCGUUUUGAGUUCAGUGACCAACUUGAUAUUUUGAGCCCACUCUAUAAUAAAAAAAUUAAAAAAUAAUAGAGCUCGAGCUCGGCUCGAUAAAACAUCCAAAUAGCUCGACCUUUUUCUACAAUACGAUCACCCCAUAGGUUUAAAAAGACUGGUUUAGAUAGCAGUGCAAUACUUUUUCUUUAUGAAACCUUUGCACUCUUCUGAGAAUAUGAGAACUGACUUGGAAUUGUAACAUGCAAAGGUGUUUGUAGUAAGCAAAUAGGACAUGAAAUUGCAACUCGUAAGUGAUAAAAGUUUUUUUUUUUUUUUAAACACGUAAGUGAUAAAAGUUGAUUAUAUGCGAGAUGCAUCUUCCAUAUUUCCCGCCUAAAAUUUUCUCUUGUCAGGAUUUGCCCACUUAAAUUUUAGCAUAGAGAACCUAUUUUACAAAAUUUAAGCGAACAUUUUUAUUUUUUUCAGAAAAGAAGCUAAUCCAAUAUAUUUCUCUUAACCAUGGUUUUUUGUUAAUGAUCUUAACGCCGAUUUUUUUUCAUUAUUACAUUAAAAAUUAGAUUAAAAUUUUAUAAUAUAAAAUAAUAUCUAAACAUAAAGAAUUCAAUAUACAAAAUUUGUUGAUUAUUAAUCGAACGAGAGCUUCCACAAUACUUACCAAUAAAUCCAUCUUAUUUCCAAAUUUCGAUACUAUUUAAGUAAUCCAAUCAUGUAAAUUUUAAUAUAUUUUAUAUGAGAUCAAUACUUAUAUCUUAUUGAUAUAAUACUACAUAUGAAUUCCUGUUGAAUUUAAAACUAAAUUUUACUAUUAUCACAAUUUAUAAUUUUCUUAUAAUUUCAACUACAUAUAGAUUUGUUAUUUCUUCAUAUUAAUAUUUUCAUUAUUAAGCGCAUUCAUCGUUAGAAAAUUUAAUUUUAAUAUUAUAUCAAUAUAAUUUUUGUAUAUAAAUAACCUUACAAACUUAUCACUGUGCUUUCUCUCCCUAGAACAUUCUUCUCUCUAUUCUCUUUGUUUAGUAGUUUUACCUUUUCCAAUUUGAAUUCUAAUUCCAAAAUCUAAACACAACUAGAACAUUCCAGAAAUAAAACCCUCUAGCCCCUCAGUCCCUCACUAUAAAAACACUUAUCUUCAUCUUCCCCACGAAAUCAAUUAAAAUCCAAAUAAUAAACCACGCUCGGCAACAAUUUUACUGAUUAAUCAUCGAUGGCUGAUGAAGCUAAAGCCAAAGGCAACGCCGCUUUCGCCGCCGGCAACUAUUCUGACGCGAUCAAGCACUUCUCCGACGCGAUCACCUUGUCUCCGGCCAAUCAUGUUCUCUACUCCAACCGAUCGGCUGCUUACGCUUCGAUUAACAAUUUCUCCGAAGCUUUAGUGGAUGCGAAAAAAACGGUGGAGAUCAAACCGGACUGGGCUAAGGGAUACUCUCGGCUCGGCUCGGCUCAUCUCGGACUCCACAAUUAUGUCGAAGCUAUCGAGGCGUACAAGAAAGGUCUUGAAUUGGAUCCGAAUAAUGAGGCUUUGAAAUCCGGGUUAUCCGACGCGGAGACCCGGGUUAGGACCCGACCCGGUUUUGGCAAUCCGACCCGGCCCGGGGCGAGUCCGUUCGGGGACGCGUUCGGGCCGGAGAUGUGGGCGAAAUUGACGGCGGAUCCGACGACGAGAGCGUUCCUCCAGCAGCCUGAUUUCGUGAACAUGAUGAAAGAGCUUCAGAAGAACCCGAGCAAUUUGAAUUUGUACUUGAAGGAUCCCAGGGUUAUGCAAGCGCUAGGAGUUUUGCUUAAUAUCAAGCUUUCGACACGAGGAAGUGAUGAUAAGGGUGUAGAGAUGUAUGACGUAUCCUCGGAGAGGAAGAGGCCUGCGGAGGAGGAACCGGUGAAUGUGAAGGAGAAGAAGCGCGAGGCGGAGCCAAUGCAGGAGGAGGUGGAGGUUUCAGAGGAGGAGAGGGAGAAAAAGGAGAGGAAGGAGAAGGCGCGGAAGGCGAAAGAGGAGGGUAAUGUGGCGUAUAAGAAGAAGGAUUUCGAGACGGCGAUUAGGUGUUAUAGUGAGGCGAUUGAGUUGGAUGAUGAGGAUAUUUCGUUUGUUACUAAUAGGGCUGCGGUUUAUCUGGAGAUGGGGAAGGUAUGUUGCUAAUGCUUCAAUCUUUAUUUAUACAUUAUGUAUUAAAAAUUGUACAGCAUGUUUUUGUUGAAUGUGUUUUGGUGCUAUCCUUUACUUGAUAUUGAGAUAAUUCAAGUUAAUAUAAGUUCCACAGGUUAAUUUGAUGUUUAUUUUGCGAUUGUGAUGCCUGUUGUCUUUAGCGUAGGAUUAUUUUCUCUUCUGUUGUGUUCAUGUAUGCAGAGGUGUAAUUUAGGAUAAUGGUAAAAGUAGCUGAAUUUUAAAAGGUUAGGAAUGUUGGGGAAGAAUUAUAAUUUAGCAUGACUUUUACAGGGACCAUCCUGAUAUACAAGUUUUUCUUUGUAGCUAGAUUACGACAUAACAUAUGAGUAGGUCAUUUGCAAAAGAAGUUGAUGCUUUUGAUCGCUUUACUACAUAAUGAAAAUUUUGGAUCCAAUUCUUUUGUCUUAUAUAUAUGAUUAAGUUGUGCAUUUUAUUUUUGUUUGAUUAUUGUCUACUAUUAUAUUAUAUAUAUAUUUAUAUGCUAUAUAUCUUAUUUUUCAAUAUGACAUAUUCAUUUAUGUGCUGAUAUUAGAGCAUAUAUUUCACUUUACAAUUAAGAUCUGUAUCUAACUAGUUGGUAACUAAUGCCACCAGUUUGAGGAGUGCAUUAAAGAUUGUGACACUGCUGUUGAAAGGGGAAGAGAACUCAGAUCAGACUUCAAGAUGGUUGCAAAGGCUUUGACAAGGAAAGGAACUGCCUUGGUGAAAAUGGCUAAAUGCUCCAAGGACUACGAACCUGCUAUUGAGACAUUUCAGAAAGCUUUGACAGAGCAUCGUAACCCAGAUACUCUAAAAAAACUUAAUGAUGCUGAGAAAGCAAAGAAAGAUCUAGAGCAACAGGAGUACUUUGAUCCGAAAAUAGCAGACGAGGAGCGUGAGAAAGGUACUAUUAUAUUUCUGUUUACCGUGGGGUUACUCACAGUAUACUACUUUUAAUUAUGAUCUGUUGCAUGUGGUUAACGGAUUACAUGUUUUACCAGGCAACGAAUUUUUCAAACAGCAGAAGUAUCCUGAAGCAAUUAAGCAGUACACAGAAUCACUGAGAAGAAAUCCAAAGGAUCACAAGGUUUGUCAUAACGAAUUCCAUUAUUACUCUUGUUCAUGAGUUAUGGAGUAUGUGAAAUAAUUUUGAUGUAUGUUUGACCCCAACAUGUUACUGAUUUGUGCAGGCUUACAGUAACAGAGCAGCUUGCUAUACAAAACUUGGCGCACUGCCUGAGGGAUUGAAGGAUGCAGAAAAGUGUAUUGAGCUUGAUCCCACAUUUGCCAAGGGAUAUACCAGAAAAGGUGCUGCACAGUUUCUCAUGAAAGAUUAUGAUAAAGCUUUGGAAACAUAUCAAGCAGGGUUGAAACACGAUCCACACAACCAAGAAUUGUUGGAUGGUGUUAAGAGGUAUAUUAUCGUAUUUGGCUAUUGAUGAAAGUGCAUCAUCAUUUUUUAACUGUAUUGAACAUUUACUGAUUGCUGCAUCAAUUGUUUCCCAGGUGUGUCGCUCAAAUUAAUAAGGCCAGCCGCGGUGAUUUAACUCCUGAGGAAUUGAAGGAGCGGCAGGUAUAUGCCUAAUUUUGUUAUGUUACACAGAUUGUGCAUGUCUGUUUUUUAUAAAUUAGGAAUCUCAUGUCAAUAUUUAAAAAUUGGGUUAAUAAUCAAGUGAGUCACCAAAUUGGGCUUGAUAUAUCAAGUUGGUCACCGAACUCAAAACGGUCUCAAAUUGGUCACUCAAGUUAGUUAUAUGUAUCUGUAAAUAUGAAUUCAAAGAGUAAAGAUAUUAUUUAUAGAGGUUUAAAUAUUAUUUUUGAAUGUUACCACAACUAAAUACAAGAUUAUGACUUCUCGUAUUUAUGAAAAUAUAUUUAGAUUUUAUCAAGUUUAUUUACUAUUUAUUUUUUAUUAUAUAGUUAUUUUCUUUAUUUUAAUUAUAAAUAUAUAAUAAAUAAACUUGAUAAAUCUGAAUAUAUUACCAUAAAUAUCAGAAGUCAUGAUCUUAUACUUAGUUCUGGUAACAUUCAAAAAUAAUAUGUAAACCUCUAUAAAUAAUAUAUUUACCCCUUCAACUUAUAUUUACAGAUACAUAUAACUUGACUUGAGUGAUCAAUUUGACACCGUUUUGAGUUCAGUGACCAACUUGAUAUUUUGAGCCCACUCUAGUGACUCACUUGAUUAUUAACCCUUUAAAAAUUUGUGCAGGCC
Molecule: long non-coding RNA, 4600 nt
Filed under: Daucus carota (carrot)
Lineage: Eukaryota; Viridiplantae; Streptophyta; Magnoliopsida; Apiales; Apiaceae
Description: long non-coding RNA (DCAR_LNC001601)
Source: RNAcentral